UAAUUCAUGGAAUGAGAGCUAUUAUGAGUCAUGGUACGUGUGGUAACCACCUUGCAAGAUGGUCCCCCAAUGACCUCUGCUUCCUGGUAUUCACAGCCUUGUGUAACACCCUCCCACGCUGUAUCAGGGAGCCACCUGUCAUAUUAUGAGGAAACCCAAACCUUAUAGAGAGGCUCAUGUGACAAGGAAUUGAGUCAUUUGAGUGACCUAUCAUGGAAAUGGACCUGCUGAUUUCCUGAUUUCAGGGCAGACCUUGAGCCAGAACCACCUACUUGAAUUCCUAACCCAAGAAAUGUGUUCUCAACUCUAGCUACACAUCAAAUCUAUUACCUUUUAAAACUGCACAUGACCCUGGCUCAGAUUCCAAAGAAUUUGAUAAAAGAUCUGAGAUAUCAAUUAGAUGUGAUCUGCCUUCUCCCCUACACAUAAUCAAAAGAGUAGCUGCUACUUAAAUGUGGAGGAAACUCAUAUAUGGAAUCAAAACAGUCACUGAAGAAAAAAAAAUUUCCUCUUCUAAAACUCAAAGGAAGGUGAUGACUUGGAGACUGUCUAGCAAUUGCUGUGCAUUAAUGGGGUGACAGUCAGAGGAAGACGCCUGGGGCAGAAGAGCUUCAGUGUAAGGAAAUCAGCCUUUACUGCUCUGCCCAAUCAUGUCAGCACCACUGCUCUUUCAAGGGGCUUCCCGCCAUUGUUGCUCCCUGCUCCGGAACACCCCAUGCUGCCAAAGCCACUGCAGGGGGUCACCUUUAACAGACAACCUCAUUUUCAAAUUUCCAGACCACUAAAUCAAAUGAACCAGU
This is a long non-coding RNA of Herpailurus yagouaroundi (jaguarundi), 800 nucleotides long. RefSeq lists it as uncharacterized. Lineage: Eukaryota; Metazoa; Chordata; Mammalia; Carnivora; Felidae. The record is from RefSeq and is a predicted model, not a curated record. The transcript has 4 exons.